RNAcentral lists this ribosomal RNA (381 nucleotides) under uncultured bacterium. RNAcentral describes it as "bacterial SSU rRNA". It matches the Rfam family "Bacterial small subunit ribosomal RNA", at positions 30 to 412 of the family's 1533-position model. The record is from RNAcentral.
AUUGAACGCUGGCGGCAUGCCUUACACAUGCAAGUCGAACGGCAGCACGGGAGCAAUCCUGGUGGCGAGUGGCGAACGGGUGAGUAAUAUAUCGGAACGUGCCCAGUCGUGGGGAUAACGUAGCGAAAGCUACGCUAAUACCGCAUACGAUCUAUGGAUGAAAGCGGGGGAUCGCAAGACCUCGCGCGAUUGGAGCGGCCGAUAUCAGAUUAGGUAGUUGGUGAGGUAAAGGCUCACCAAGCCGACGAUCUGCAGCUGGUCUGAGAGGACGACCAGCCACACUGGGACUGAGACACGGCCCAGACUCCUACGGGAGGCAGCAGUGGGGAAUUUUGGACAAUGGGCGCAAGCCUGAUCCAGCAAUGCCGCGUGCAGGAUGAA